GAUGAGCGCUAGCUACAGGCUUAACACAUGCAAGUCGAGGGGUAACGAGAGGAAAGCUUGCUUUCCUUGUCGACGACCGGCGCACGGGUGAGUAACGCGUAUCCAACCUGCCCCCAACUAGGGAAUAACCUUGCGAAAGUAAGACUAAUACCCUAUAAUUUCCUCAGAUGUCAUCUGACGAGGAAUAAAGAUUUAUCGGUUGUUGGUGGGGAUGCGUCUGAUUAGCUUGUUGGCGGGGUAACGGCCCACCAAGGCAACGAUCAGUAGGGGUUCUGAGAGGAAGGUCCCCCACAUUGGAACUGAGACACGGUCCAAACUCCUACGGGAGGCAGCAGUGAGGAAUAUUGGUCAAUGGGCGGAAGCCUGAACCAGCCAAGUAGCGUGCAGGAUGACGGCCCUAUGGGUUGUAAACUGCUUUUAUACAGGAAUAAAGUUAGCCACGUGUGGUUAUUUGUAGGUACUGUAUGAAUAAGGACCGGCUAAUUCCGUGCCAGCCGCCGCCGUAA
Molecule: ribosomal RNA, 506 nt
Filed under: uncultured bacterium
Lineage: Bacteria
Description: partial 16S ribosomal RNA
Rfam family: Bacterial small subunit ribosomal RNA
Source: RNAcentral